GGUUAAGAAACACCAGAAAAGAUGGCUAAUAAAGAAAUGACUCUAGUUCCACAACAUGGAAUUGAGAGCUCUCUGAAGAUGACAAGAUGCCUGUGUUUGAUCUUUAUUGCCUUUGGGUUGCUGGGAGCUUCCAGGUCCACACACCCCCACUCAGGCCAAACCUCAUGGCUGUCGUGGGUUAAAGCUAAGACAAGCCGGGUCAAGACAACAUAACAGCAUCAGCUUCAGUGAAGACAUGAUGAUGGCCACUGGGUGGCUUCACUCCCAAAGCUUUCAGACUGCAGCUCAAAACCUGUGUCUGAGGCCACAAAUGAAAAGCAAACAAGAGCAACAAUGAAUACUUGGUGUGCAAGCAAAUAGGGCAUAUGUUAGUUAAAUGACUAAAUGACCCAAGUCAUGAGUUUGCCCACAGAAAUGUGAGAAAACUGAAAAUUGAGCCGAGGAGGAAGCAAACUCAGGACGCAGCAGGCUCAUGCAACCUCGUCUCACACAGGUGGAAAAUAGAGGGGCACAAACGACACAACUGUUGACAGUACAGCUCAGUUGCACAAGAGACCAUAGCAUGUUGGAGAUCCCCGUACCAUAAGACUACCACCAAGAACAGCAGCUGAGGUGAAGUGGAGCCUGCUAGAUGAGCCUGCUUGAAGAUGAGCUGGAUGUGCCGUAGAGGGUGGAGUUGGAGAAAUGACCCAGGACCUUUGGAGGAGCCCAGCAGACAAUGAGUGAAUCCCAGAUAUUGGGCAUGGAAUUAUUUACACUGUUGGAGUUUGGUUUUGCUUUGCUCUGAUUGUGACUGUGCCCUGGUUCUUCCCUCUUGAAGUAAGGAAGUGUUCAACUUGUGUUUGAUUUCACAAGAGCCCACAGUUGAGAGACUGAAUUUUAUAGGUUUUAAAUUUUAAAAGACUUUAGACUUUUAAGGAUAAUUGCUUUUUAAAGUGUUUGAAUUUGUAAAGACUGUGGGUUUUGGGUUUAUAAAAUGUUUUAUGUUGUGGUGUCGAUGUUAAUGUGUGAUCUUGAGGAUAAAUAAGAAACGAAAGGUUGUAGUAUAACAGUGAUGUUUGCAUGUCUGGUUGACAAGGGGUCAGUUGUGCUUAAUGGUUUUAUGUCAGCUUUACACAGGAGAGAGUAAUCUGACAGAAGGGAACCUUAAUUAAGAAAAUGCCUCUGUAAGAUUAGGCUGUAGGUAAACCUGUUGGGCAUUUUCUUAGUGAUACGGGAGAGGCUAGCCCAUUGUGCAUGGUGCCGUUCCUGGGCUGGUGGUCCUGGAUUCUAAAGGAAAGCAGGCUGAGCAUGCCACAAGGAGCAAGCCAGCAAGCAGAACCCCUCCAUGGCCUCUGCAUCAGCCCCUGCCUCAAGGUUCCUG
This 1363-nucleotide long non-coding RNA is filed under the name Cricetulus griseus (Chinese hamster). RNAcentral describes it as "lncRNA (ENSCGRG00015040452.1)". Lineage: Eukaryota; Metazoa; Chordata; Mammalia; Rodentia; Cricetidae. The record is from RNAcentral.